Molecule: long non-coding RNA, 331 nt
Organism: Phascolarctos cinereus (koala)
Lineage: Eukaryota; Metazoa; Chordata; Mammalia; Diprotodontia; Phascolarctidae
Source: RefSeq, a predicted model, not a curated record
UGGGGAGGACUGUUAUAGUCUAUUAUACAGCAUACUCAUUUUUAUUGCCAGGUGUAACUUAUUUCACAAUUAAUUGGUUGACGAUUUAUGAAUAAUCAAUCUGAGUUCAGUAUGGCUUCGACAGAGAGAAAUUAAGCAGGUGGUUGAAAAACACAGAGGAAGUUACCAAAAUCAUUAAGGCCGACUAUAAAGUUCAUGAUGCUAGAAGCAGGAUUAAGGGUCAGAACAUGGAAGCCACUGGAGAAUACAAAGAAAAAAGCCGAAGUGUUUUCCCUCAAAGAGAUUACAGUUUUCCCAGGAAGACAUGUACAUAUGAAGAUCUAUAUGAAAU